This 1054-nucleotide small RNA is filed under the name Pongo abelii (Sumatran orangutan). RNAcentral's name for it is "processed transcript". Lineage: Eukaryota; Metazoa; Chordata; Mammalia; Primates; Hominidae. The record is from RNAcentral.
AGGCACCUCUGUGGUAUCUCUUGCCACAACAGUUGCCCCUGGAAGUUUCAGCACAGAAGCCACAACUUCUAUAGGAGAAAAUGGAAAAACAAGAGGUGAAAUAAUCACAGGUACUACUGAGGCCACCUCUGGCAAAGUUCUGGAACCUGGAAGUGCCCACACAGAGGCCACAAUUUUCCCAGGAGGCAGUGGGACUACCCGAGCAGGACUGCCAGGAGGUACCACUGGAGAAUUGUCUAGAAUGACCAUUAUACCUGGAAGUUCUAACACAGAGGCCACAACUUCCACAAAAGGGACUGGUACUUCUGGAACUGGCUUCAAAACUGGCACCUCUGGGGUGGCAUCUGGCACAACAGUUUCCCCUGGAAGUUUCAGCACAGCCACAAUUUCUCCUGGAGCAAGUAGAACGACUGGGGCUGGACCCACUACAGAAACUACAACUUCCCUAGGAGGAGGUGGCACCAUUGGAGCAGAAAUAAAAUCAGGAGCCACCUCCGGAGCACCAGGAAGUAAGACAGGCACAGCUGCAGUGCCCUCUGCUACAACAGUUGCCCCUGGGAGCUCCAACUCAGAGGCCACGACUUCUUUAGGAGAUAGUGGAAAAACAAGAACUGAAACAAUCACAGGUGCUACUGAGGGUAAAACUCUGGCAGCUGGAAGUGCCCACACAGAGGCCACAACUUUCUCAGGAGGCAGCGGGACCACCCGAGCAAGACCACCGGGAGGCACUUCUGGCACAUCAGGAGGAUAUGUCCCUGGAAGGGAAACAGAGCCCACAACUUCCAUUAAAGAAACUGGAACUUCCAGAACUAUAUUCAAAACUGUAGGCAUCACUUCAGCCCCAGGGAGGCAAGCAGGCACCUCUGUGGUGGCGCCUAGCACAAUUGCCCCUGGAAGUUUCAGCACAGCAGCCACAACUUCUCCUGGAGCAAGUGAAAUGACUGGGGUUAGAACCACUUCAAAGACUACAACUUCCCUAGGUGGAAUUGGCACCACUAGAACUGAAAUAAAAUCAGGAGCCACCAAUGGAGCACCAGGAAGUAAGACAGGUGUC